Molecule: long non-coding RNA, 107 nt
Organism: Sinocyclocheilus rhinocerous
Lineage: Eukaryota; Metazoa; Chordata; Actinopteri; Cypriniformes; Cyprinidae
Exons: 3
Source: RefSeq, a predicted model, not a curated record
UGAAAAAUAAUGUUUACUAUUAAACACUCAAUUUGCAGUUAAAGGCAUUUCAUUAUUGAAUUCAGUGAUGUCAUUGUCCAGCUCAGUUCAGUUUAUAUAGUAUCUGU